RNAcentral lists this ribosomal RNA (440 nucleotides) under uncultured bacterium. Its description in RNAcentral is "partial 16S ribosomal RNA". It matches the Rfam family "Bacterial small subunit ribosomal RNA", at positions 338 to 795 of the family's 1533-position model. The record is from RNAcentral.
CCUACGGGCGGCAGCAGUGGGGAAUAUUGCUCAAUGGGGGAAACCCUGAUGCAGCGACGCCGCGUGAGUGAAGAAGUAUUUCGGUACGUAAAGCUCUAUCAGCAGGGAAGAAAAUGACGGUACCUGACUAAGAAGCCCCGGCUAACUACGUGCCAGCAGCCGCGGUAAUACGUAGGGGGCAAGCGUUAUCCGGAUUUACUGGGUGUAAAGGGAGCGUAGACGGCAGCGCAAGUCUGGAGUGAAAUCCCAUGGCUUAACCAUGGAACUGCUUUGGAAACUGUGCAGCUAGAGUGCAGGAGAGGUAAGCGGAAUUCCUAGUGUAGCGGUGAAAUGCGUAGAUAUUAGGAGGAACACCAGUGGCGAAGGCGGCUUACUGGACUGUAACUGACGUUGAGGCUCGAAAGCGUGGGGAGCAAACAGGAUUAGAUACCCGAGUAGUC